CCUAAAGAGCAUAAUGGAGAAGGACUCCAGAGGACGUGGAGGAGAGUGCUGCUCCCCAGGGAGAAGGGCAUCGAUCAAGAGCCACUUCCUGCUCUCUGGACCGCGAGGGUGCAGCAAGGAGACAGAAUAAGCAAAAGCACGCCGCAGCUUCACCCCCGCAGCCCCGAGCGCGGAAGGGCCACCUGUUCAAACACAGCCGCACUGGGAGGCAGAGGAGCCAUGUUUGAAUUUUAGGGGCCACACAGCUUGCGGUGUUUAUAAUUUUCUGCAAGGUCCUUCCUGGCGGUGAUGUGCUGGAGUGGAGUUGUGUCUCCGCCUUGCCCUCGAGUCUCGCAUUAGGCCUCCUUCACUUCGGACGGAGACCGGGGCCCUGAGACAUCUGAUUUCGUGACCCUGCUGUCCGUGACCAGCACCAUUAUUACGGUUGGCCCUUUGUCAACUUGUCUCCUGUGGGCCUUUUUACCAGUCUUUUCAAUGACAAUAUUUUCCUAUAUAUUAAAAAACAGCAUAUUAAAAC
Molecule: long non-coding RNA, 517 nt
Filed under: Heterocephalus glaber (naked mole-rat)
Lineage: Eukaryota; Metazoa; Chordata; Mammalia; Rodentia; Bathyergidae
Description: lncRNA (ENSHGLG00000045676.1)
Source: RNAcentral